This 471-nucleotide unclassified non-coding RNA is filed under the name Tephroseris integrifolia subsp. integrifolia. Its description in RNAcentral is "partial contains external transcribed spacer and small subunit ribosomal RNA". Lineage: Eukaryota; Viridiplantae; Streptophyta; Magnoliopsida; Asterales; Asteraceae. The record is from RNAcentral.
AUGAGUGGAGAUUGGUUUGUUACGGGUGGUUGGCUCUUUGUUUGUGCAACWGCUUCCACCUGGCKUACCUCCUCASUUAUGCGUCAAGGCUUGUAUCGCCUAGAGCGUAUUGUUGGYUUUCUGUAUUGGAUACCUAAUCGAAGGUAUUAUUUUGAUCGAUUGSAGUCCCUUUUCGUCUUGUGUUGCAUUUUGUGUCGCAUGAUGAACUUUGAAGCGGUCUCUAUGAUCCAUCACGUUGAUGCACUUGCAUUGAUGUUGUGGCCCAUUGAGCUUUGUUUGGUUUCUUGGAUAUGGAACAUGAAGUGGGCAUGGGGCUGUCAUGAUCCUCUUUUUGCCCUCGUAUGGUGUUCUCGAACGACGGGUCAUGCGCGCCUAGGCUCGUACCUGCGUGAUGAUCUAUGUCAAAGAGGAAUGCUACCUGGUUGAUCCUGCCAGUAGUCAUAUGCUUGUCUCAAAAAUUAAGCCAUGCAU